Molecule: long non-coding RNA, 36492 nt
Filed under: Cinara cedri
Lineage: Eukaryota; Metazoa; Arthropoda; Insecta; Hemiptera; Aphididae
Source: RNAcentral
CGCGAACGUUAGCAAAGGCUCCGUCAGUACGCAUCCGGUAUAUCGUCGGUACGCCUCGUGCGCCAGUGACCAAUUUCGAAAACCGCCGUCGGUUCGUCUCGCCGCGUCCGCGAAAUAACAAAACGUCCGCCGUGGGAGGUUAAAAAUAAAAACGAAAAAAAAAAAAAAAAAAAUUAUUCACGAUCGUAUUCGUACACGCGUUAUUCGGCGGCGGCGUUCGGUAUCGAUUUUCGUAUAGAUUUUCCCGCGUAAUUCGUGUGCGAUUCGGCUCCGGACCGAAAUUGUUAUAAAACGGUACCGAUACGCGUGUCCACCGCGCACACGUCGAAUACAUUUUAUUGUUUACGUGUUCGGAUCGCCGCGGGAUAUUUCCGAAAAUCGUAAUAAACCUAUAAACGUCAUUAUGUACGACAAAUUGCGCAUAGUGCUGCCGGAGGAGUAAUACUUCUGACUACGAGCGAUACGGGUGAGUGAAACGGCCGCGAAAUCUUUUAGAGACAUUCGUCCCAAUCGUCGUCCCUUAUCUCUAGCCAAUCAUUUUCAAUCGUGUUCGGUCGGGGAGAGUUUUUUUUUCUCUAAAUUUAAAACAAAAUUAUAACCCUUAUGCGCUUAAAAAAAAAAAAAUACGUUUUUACGAUACUUGUAACCGAAUUCAGUUUUUAUUUAAUUUAAAUGAUAUUAUACAAUCCUAAAUCGCCAAAAGAUAUAACGGUUUUAAUAUAUUAUAUUUUAUAACACAACGUGUGUGCAUAUAUUUUUUUUUUAAUACCCUUUACAAUAGAUACGUGUAUAGGGUGAAUAGAAUAAUUUUUGAAAUUAAAAUAAACAGACGUUUUUUGAAUACAGUACAGUAUUGUACAGUCGAAUACACCGGAAUUAAUCGCAAGGGCAGAAACUAAAACGGUAUCAACAUUUUAAUAAGCAAUGUUCAUUACAUGGGAAAAAGUAAUACAAAUUAUAUCGAGAAUUAUAAUGAAUUUUUCAAAAUCGAAUGAUUAGAUAAAAUUAAAUACUGUAGUCGAUACGUCCAAGUUUAUAUUAGGUAUACUAUGGACAUUCGACAAAUACGAGGUUUCUUUCCGAUUAUAAUUACAAGCGAAACCCAAACGACCUCUCACCUAUUUCCGAAAAUAUAGUAUUCUGUUUUCAAAUAAUAAAUAGGUAGUGAAAAUUUCCCCCUUUUCUCCUCGAAAACCGUUUGUCUCGCUCUGCUAUAUUGCAGAUAAAGUUAAUCAUAACGUUUUAGCCACCGAAAAUAAAUAUUAUUUAUUUCCAUCAAUAACUUUUCGUUUUUCUUAAUUUAUUUUUAUUUGGAGGUAUUGUAUUACAUGUAGAUUUUUUUUUCUGAAUCAAACUUUUUUCUCCGUUGACUCGAUUUAGAACCAUUAUGAAAAAAUAUGAAACAAAUAGUCACAAUAGGAACUGCGUUAAGUAUACUCAACAAUUUGAGUGUUAUUAUAUACAAUUUGUUUAGAUUUAAAAACCCGAGGUUCACAUAGAUUAUUAAUGUCUACAAAUAUUUAUAAUAAAUCGCUAAAUUACGUUUAUUAUCUAUUUCGUUUAACAUAAAUUAUUGGGCUGUUAUUAUUUUAUAAUUCGAUUGAAUAUUAUAUAGAGCGGUGAAUAAUAAAAAAAAAAAAAAAAAGGUUUAGAAACCAGGUGUAUUCGUUUCACAUAAUAAACUCCGCCAAUAAAGAUAAUGGAAUAUUAUUACCUAUAUAUAGUUUUAAAUAUUUUUAUUUAACUACGAUAUUGGAAUUCAAAAUUAUAAUUCGAUUACGAUUGUUAUACUUAUACGGUUAGACGUUUUAUAUAAUUUUUUUUGAUUUUUAGAUUAGUAUUAAAACCCCGAAUUGGGAUCAUAAUUAUCGCUAUGAAAUACCGAAAUAUUCUGAAAUAGUAAUCAGAAAACGAAAAUACGUGGCCAAAAUCAUAAAGUAUUUUAAACACUGAUUAGGUAAACCUAUCAAAAAAAAAAAAAUAAAAAUCCACACUUUUUAUAAUAUUUAAAAAUAAUAGUAAAAGCCAAAAUUUCUAUUUUAGUACACUAAAUUUUAAUCUAAUCUGACAAAAUUCCACCACAUUAUUUUCCAUUGUUCAACUCGGAAAUAAUUAUAAAUAUCAAUAAAUAUAUUGAAAAUAAAAUACCAUUAGCUAAAAAUUCUAUAAAUUCUGUAAAUGUUUUUUUUUUUUGAAAACUUGAGUUAGAGUCUUAUAUAGAUAUCGAAUCAUUUCUACUAACCGAAAAUUUGUUUUUCUGGAAAAAAAAAACGCUUAUAGGUUUUUUGUGAUAAUCAGAAUGUAAUCAUGAUAAAAUAUGAUCGUAUUGAUAUGUAAAAUCUAUUCCGAAAUGAUUGGACUCGACGUGUUUUACGUGAAUGAGGGCAAUAAUAAAUAUUCAAUAAAAUAUAUUGUUUGUUUGUAAAAUUAAUAGUUUUUAGUUAUAACACUCAAAACAAAGUGACGAGCUGUUAUAAUUUUUUAUAAAGACUAUUAACGCUAAAAUGAUUCAACAAUAAAUAUAUUAUGAUACAAAGUAAACCGCAUAUAUUUAUAGACGUAAUAUUUGUACACAUUCAACGCGUGUAUUUGUAAACAUAAUAAAACCCAACGGUGAACUACAUCCCAUAUCCCAAAAAUGUAUUAGCUCAAUCGGUAUGAAUUCGCCUUUUUCAAGUUAUUUAAAAUUAAUACGCAUUUUUAAUAUAAACGUUAUAAUUCUCUUGUAACAUAAUAAAAUGUAUUAGAUUUAUAAUAAAGAGAUUAGGUGUUAAUAAUUUGUUUACGAUAGUUCAAUUUAUUAUUGAUUAUUUUGAAUUACCUAAUAUUAUGCAUUUUUUUAGACGACGACGUGUUACUUUCAAAAUUUUUGAUAUUUUCGAUAUUUUUUUCUAUUAUGUGAAUAACAGAACAUUUUUAAAUUUAUUUUUAUUAACAUCUUAUGAUAAAUAAUUCGUUAAAACCCAAAUAAUUGCAAUUUAUUUUGUGGUUAUAAAAUAACAUACAGUUUUCCAUUUAAAUUUGUCGACACACGUUAAACCGAACUGGCUUCGCGGUCGUUUUUCGUUUGUACUGAUUUAUUAUUGUUCACAGACAUACACUAAAUUACCUUAUGUAUAUUAUACGUUUAUAACUUACAAAAAUGACCAACCUAUUAUACAGAGUAUGUCAGCCUUUUUUAAUUUGUCUUAUUAUUAUAAUUUGCCCCGAUAAUAAUUGAUAUUUUCCCUAAAAUUAUGAAGCGUCCCUUACCAUUUUAUAAAACCUCGCCUGUCUGAUAAAAUCUAAUCAACUAUCUCAUAAUCAUUUAAAAACUGAUCACAUAACCGGUCAUCACGUUAGUGAUGUUUUAUAUAAAAUGUGAAUAACAAAAAAAUAAUAAUAAUCAAUUUAAACAAAUCAUUCUAUACGGCUAAUUGGUGAGUCACUUUGUGGAUAUUAAGUUGAGAAGAUGGGAUAUUUAGAAUUACAUAAUUUAUGUAUAUUCUGUGCAACGAUAAAUCAUUGUUAAUGUAACACGACCUUUAACAAUGUUUGUUUGUACAUAUUUUGAAAUGGCGUGAUUUCAAAAUUUUUAAAUGUUUAUAAAUAACACGAAAAUCUCCAGAAUAUUUUGAAUAUUUCUCCACGUACAAAAACUUCGAUAUGAGUAUUAAGUGAAAAUUUCUAUAAUUGUUUGAACUGGUUUUAAAAAAAAAAAAAACAAAAAUAAAAUCGUAAUUGCCGUAAUUUUGUCCGUCGUUUAUAUAUAUUUUUUCUUGUUUUUUUUUUUUUUCAAAUUAUAAAGAAAACUUCAAUGAAAAUUAAAAUCUAUAAAGUAUUCAACAUAUUUAAUAGAUUACAUUUUUUUCAGCAGAUGUGUAACACUUGGAAACCAAAGCAAUAUUUCUGGUAUAAAUACCGUUUACAGACAGAAAAAACAUAUUUUAGUAAAAUUAAUACAUUCAUUGCUGUGUUUAAAAACUGCUUUGACUCUAUUGUUUAAACUCUAUUUUGAAUUUGUUAUACGUAUUAUGUAUAAUUCCUUUUAAGAUAAAAUAAAUAAUAUUCUUCUGCUCAAUACUAUUCUAUUUUUGGUGGCCUUAAUUUCUAUGAUAAAUUGCAACAAUAUUUUUGCUUAAUGCUAAAUAUAAUUUUUAAAUUUGAAUUCAAUGUAUUUACAACUUAAAAGUUUAUUUAUGUAGAGAAUUUUAACCGUUCGACUAUAAUAUCCAUUAAAUUAUACACUUAAUCAUCCACUAAAAAAUUUAAUAGUUUUCUAUUACUAAUUUACUAACUGUAAAUGCGGCUAUAUGCCUAAAAAUCAAUGCACGUUUAUUGAUUAUGUAAAGAAUCAAAAAUUUUAAUUAUUAAACGAUUUUAUUCUUUGUUAAAAAAUGUCCACCAACAGCGUCUAUCAUUUGUUUUCAAACCAACAUUUUAUAUGAAACCUAUACAGUAUAUCAGUAGAGUGUUAUAUACAUUUUCAUAUACAAAUCCCAUCGGCUUUUUAAGUAUAUCUAUUAUUUAUAUGACUAUAUAUAUUUUUUUUUAAAAUACUUUUGUAUACAUAUAACCCAAAGUUAUAUACCCAGUUUUUCGCGUGGCUUUUUUUUAAAACAACGUUAAAAAUUAACAGCGGGGGCUACGUUAUAAGAUUAAAAUCAUAGAAUGAAGUGAUUUUUUACUUUUCUUAGGCUUUUCUUUUCUUUUUUUUUAAAAAAAAAAAAAAAACACUAGCUUGUCCCAUAAAAAAUUAUUCACAAUCCAAAAUUGGUUUAAUUUAACUAUAUCUCCCUCCUUGGCAAAAUCUUCUGCAGCAGUAUAAAAGUACGAUAUGGAUACGAUACUACACGGGGUAUCAUUUCUUACUCAACCGCAGGGUUUCAAAAUUUCGGGAGUAUAUAGAAUAGACAAAAUUGUUUUAUAUAUUAUUAUUUAUUAUAUAAACGACCCGGUGGUGCAUUGAUUAAAGUAUACGUAUAUUAAAUUAAGGCGUGCACAGUACAGCGGGUUUUAUGUGCAAACUACUACCUCCUAUAAUAUACGUUAGGUAGGUAUGCGAUGUAUAGUGUGGUUGAAAAGAAUGUUUUAUUAAACACCCACGAGACGCGCUGUCUGGUAUGAAUUGAAAUUUCAACUGGCAAGGUGAUGCGAGAAGAAAGUGUAUGUGUAUAUACCUACAUAAAGGUUGACGAGUAUAAUGAUGAAUAAUAUGUUUGAUGGAUAUAUACGACGACGCAAAAGGUGUUGAGUGAGGGCUUAUAAUACGAACACGAAAAUGUUAGGGGUAAAUUAACCAGCCGGCUUUUGGUAGGUUGGUAAUGCACAAGUAUAACGGUAAAGUGUCGUAUAUGCGCGAAUAUUUAAAAAGUUAUUAAAUAUUUCAAUUUUAAUAAACCGUACGUUUGUCACGCAUACUUCGUGUAUAAUAAUAUCCAGGUGUCUAUAUAAUGCGGGUGUAAGACAAAAAUACCGAAAAUCUAACAGACAAGCACGCAUACAGCAGAAGGGGGGAUUAAGAGGUUCAGCGCGCCCCAAAAUUUGUUUCUGUAUACGUGACUGCAUGCGGGACGCGGGUACCUGUUUUACGUCAUUAUUUGUGUGGCUUAUAGGCCCUUUUCUGGUGUAUUUGUAUGUUUUUUUAACAUACAAUAGUUUAUCGUGAUUAUAUUAAAAAUUGGGAAAAUAUACAUAAUUUAAAUUCUAAAAUAAAAAUAAAUACAAUGUUUUAAAUAGAUAUUUUUAUGGAAACGGGCCACGGAACAUACGAUAUCAACAAGACAUAUUAAGAAUUAUAGUUUUAUUUCGCAGCAUACCGGAUAUAAUAUACUAUUAUAAACGCAAUUAUUUUAAUGAUUUCAUACAUAAUAAUAUGAAAUAUGUGUUUAUAGUAAUAUAUUUGAAAUUUAAAUUCAAAUUAUGUUCGAUUAUUAAAACGCUAAAAACCAUACAAAUAUAUUAUUGUAAAUACUGUAUUUAACACCAAAUUUAAAUGUCAAAAAUAUUAAUACUGUUGAAUGCAAUCAGAAUAAACAUUAUACAGCGCAGUCGUGAGAAAAUUAACCGCGAUAAUUUAAAAUUAUUGGAAUCUCAGGUUUUAGUGCUUCUAGCUACAGAUUUUAUAUCAUAAUGUUAUUACGUGUGCGUAUUAUUAAGAAAUAAAUUGACAAUACUUAUUAUUAUUAUUAUUAUUAUUAUUUUUAAUCAUUAAAAUCGGUCCGAAUUGAACGUGGUAAACCGUUGAAAUUAUUAUUAGUAAUAUGUCUUCCAAUACAACUAGAGACUUUUUUGUUCUUGUACCUAUGUAUAGAGAUUUUAUGCGCGGGAUACUAAAGUUGUUGUAUAAACUAGUUUAUUUUAUACGUUUUCGCCGCCGUCGCAUUGUUAGGUACGACGGAAAUAUUAUUAUUAUCUUAAUGAUAUAUUUUAACGUUCAAUUACUAUGCAAAUAAAAUACUUAGUUGUAUGUAUAGGUACCUACAUUAUUAUUAAAAUAACUUGCAUUCGCUAUUAUAUGCGCAAUAUACUGCAAACAAACUUUCAAAAAUGCAUCGAGACAGCUAGUGUGUGGUUUUUUUAGGGGGGUAGGAGAGAGGAAUGGAAUUAUUUAUUUUUGAAAUUGGCAUACUACGUUAAAACGGCAAUAAAUAUUAUAUGCACGUAAAAUAUACGAACAACGGAAAUUGUACAGUUGUAGCGGUUUGAAUAAAUAUAAUGUAUACAUAUAUAUAUAUAUAUAUAUAUAUGUGAAAUAAAGUACGGUUUUCACUGCUGGGCGUGUACAUUUCACGCGAGCGUGUAGCGCAGGCUGCCGCUGCAGUAGAUCAGCUAGACGAGAGGAGAGUGUGCCAAAUAGGUGUAAAACCCGACCAUCCUCCGAAAGAGUAGAGCAUAGCACACGCAUAUAACAAGACAAUGACGACGACGACGAGAAAAAUAGGAAACAUACAAAUUACCGUGCACGACUCCCUUAUGCAUAAUCAUUUUAUCAAGUCUAGCGAAAACCAUAGAACAUCGCUUUCAGCCCGGCUCGAUGUUGAUGUUUUACGCGAUUACAUGCCCGAGGUUCAUACACCUAAAGGCUUAUUUAUGCCAGUGUCGUAUACAUAUAGGUAUAUUUAUUUAUAAUAUACAUACCGACUCUGGAAAGGGUGUGGUGAAUAAGUGUUUCGAUGUAUCAAAAUGAUGGAACUGCGUGAGAAACCCAAGACGCGCGUGUGUAUAUAAAUAAUAAAAACGUAUAAAAAGACGGAGGCGGGGAGGUGAUGUGAGUGCGUGUGAACCAGAGACAACGACGACGGCGGCGUUGAAAACGACGACGAAAAAAAAACAACAACAACAAAAACUCGGGAGGAAAAAAGUAAUAAGGAGCAGAGAAAAAGGAGGGGAAAGGCGUGUGCCGAGGGCUCGAUGUAUCGUCGCCUGAUACUUUUCGAGCACUUUAUCAAAUUGCUGACGAAAUUUGUUGUCUACCCUCUCUCGGUUCAGACCUUAUAUACAAUUCACAUACGAAUUUAUGUUCAUUUUUAUCAGCCACUGAAUGCUUUUGUAAUCUAUAUCGAAUCACGAACAAUUUACGACCGCUUUCAGAAUCGUCCGAAAACUUUGCUACGGUAAACUUUAAUGUCGCAACUUUUCCACGUAACGUUUUUUCGUUUUUCCUCCCGACUAGUUACCGCAGAGUUAUAACUACAAAUUUAUUCAAAUCACAAAUUUUCUUUUUGUAUUUUUCUAGAACGAAACCAAUUAUUUUUGUCCCCACUCCUCUCCCCCUUACAUAAUUUAAUCGUUAAAAGUAACCCACCUACGAUUUUCUAUAGUACACUUAUAUACUAUAUUUUAUUAUUUUAUUAUUUCGUAACGACACGAUAACUAAAAUACACCAAAGCUUCUUUUACAAAAAAAAACUUUUGACACGUCGUUAUUAGUUAUUUAUUUAUUAACGAAUUCAUAAAACCGACACUAUAUAACACAAUACAUUAUUGAUAACAGUUUAUUUCUCGGACGGUAUUUUAUCCACCUAAAAAAAUUAUAACACUUAAACAGUAUAUAGGUACUCAUUUUACGGUAAACUGCCAUCGUUAAGAUUGAUUGAUAUAUAAAUAAUUUUUUUUUUUUAUUUGAAACCGUUUACAAAUAUUUACAUAGAACUAAACAGUACCUACAGUAAAUAUUUGCCAUUUACAUUCCGUUAAUGUUAAUUGUACUAUAAAAUAUUAUGACGCCAAUAAUACCAUGAUGGCAUCGAAGGUUUCGUAUCUUGAGUUGUAGAAAUAUGCCUCUACAGUAUUCCACAGAAAUAUACCUAUUGCAAUACCUUAAGAAAUUUUAACUUUUUACGGAAUUUUAGAUUCUUUAGUGUACCAAAGAACGUAUUGGUUUUACAGAAGUUUUUUUUUUCUUAUACUGUGUACAAAUCAAUAUUGCUCCGAAGUAUCAAAAUAGCAUAUUUUUUUAAAGGGACUAAUCAAAAAUUUAAAAGAAGAUUCAUUACAAGGUGUACUUUACAAGAAGUACUAAACAAGAAAAAGUUGAGUUUAAUACGUAGUAUUUUUUUUUUAUAAUAAUUUUAAUAUUAAAUUUUGGUGAAAAUCGUAAUGUUACCAACUGCUUUUUAAAAUGUGUAUAACCGAACUCCGCUCAAAAUCGUUUUUCGUUUACAAAAAUUAAUCGUUGUAGAUAUACAUUCAAUUAUCUUCUAUAUACUACUUUCUCAAAUUCUCACCUACAAUAGUGGUCCGUCAAUCGUGGAAGUAUGUGCGUCUUUUUCUUUUUAAUAUUUACGGAACCUACCUCUAAAAUGUUAUAUCAAUGUUAUUUUUUUUAUUACAUACGUACUUUCAGUGGUGAAACCACUGUAAUAAUGACUAUAACACAACUAUAAUAAUUUGUUCAUAAAAUUUUCAAAUAACAAUCUAUAUUUAAUAUUCAAUAAAAAGAUGACCGUUUUAGUUGAAAUAAAUAUUGGAGUUAAAAUGUUUAUUUUUUGUUAAUCCGUUGACAAAAUAUUUCAUCUAAAAGUUAGGAUAGGGGGAGAUUAGUAGAAAAUAAUUUGCGCGUUAGUUAUCUGUAUUAAACUAUAAGUAUCCGAGUUUGGUUAUUGCGGGUUUUAAUCAGAAAAUUUGCAAAUUAAAUUAGUAGCUAUCGCGCACAAAUUGCACUAUACAAUGCAGGGUAACCAAAAAUAAAACUAACCUAAAACUCACACACUAUCAGUGUAUGAGUAGGAAGGUAAUAAAAUAAAAACAUUGAGGUCAAUUCUUGAAAAAUAGUAACGACAACACAUUUUAAACAGUAGGUGUAUAAUAACUAUAAAUUAUAAUAAUAGACCGGAUAUAGAUUUAAAUCACCCAUAAAAUCACAUAUUAUUUUAGAAUUGUUUUGAGUGAAAUUGCAUUAUUUUAAGCCCUUGGGUAUGUACAUAAGUUUUUUUUUUGUUCGCGAAACACUUAUCUGCCAAUAACCUUUCUCGCACUCAGGUGUGAAUCCUAAAUAAAUGUAUAGAGUUUAUUUUAACUUACUUUUUUUUUUUUUAAUAUUAUUAAAAACUGUUUGUGGAUAUAAUAUAGUUAGUUUUUGUGAUGGAUAGUUUUUCCGGGGGAUAUCGUAUAUUCCUGUUUUAUCCUCUCGAGGACCACCCGGAACAAAAAAAUAUCGCAUCCAUAAUACAUAAUAAUAAAGAUCGAUUUUACUGAUGGUCAAUACACAAUAUUAUAUUUUUUCGGUACCUGCUAUUAUUGUUAGAAAAAAUACGUACACUUUCGAUUAUUAUAUUCUAUAAAAUAUAUUUAUUGCACUAUUUUAAUAUUAAACAUAGUGUCUGCGGUUUCAAUUUUCAUAUUAUAAUAACGACAGUAAAAAAAAAAAAAAAAAACUUUUGACGAGAUUGAAGUAAAAAAUGACGAUACCGGAAAUUAAUAUUUUCCGUACCGAAUACUAAACUUUAUAUAGGUACAUAUAUUAUUAUAUUUUAAUUUUUAUAAACUGUCUGAAAUUACUUCUUCGAAAAAAAAAAUAAAAAUAAUUUGGAAUAUUAUAAUAAAUGCAGGGAAAAUGAUUAUUUCAAAACGAAGUUGCACAUCGGUUGCCCCUACGAAAAAGGUCGUUUCUCGAUUUUGAUCAAUUUAGAGUUAAUUCCAUCGUCUGAUUGAUAAUUUUUUCCUCUAUCACCUACGAAAAAAGCAAUAGUCCAAUAGUUAUAUUCGUCCAAAAAAAAUUAAAUAUAAUUUAUUUUAAUAAUACACUGAAAUUUUGAUUUCUAACGAAAACAAUUGUUACGUUAUUGUAUAGAUACGAAGAACUGACUUAUCACAUAAGCGGCUCCACCCAGAAAAAAUUUCGUAAAUAUAGAUGCAUAAUAUUUUGUUUUUAUUUUUUAAAUGGUGUUUCAUAAAAAACGUUGGAAAUACGAUUUUUUUUUUCAAAAAUUAAAAUUUAAUACGGAGUACAAAAUCCAACGAACUUUUAGGCACAUUUAUGUAAAAAAACAGUGUCAGAAAUUAAUUUCGAUUGUAUAUCAUUAAAUUCGUUCUAAAAAUUGGACAAAAUGAGAUUCACAACCGUUUUCGUUACAGAAGUUGAAAUUUUCGUUUCGAUGUUAGGUACCUAUAAUGUAUAGCGACCACCUUAACUAUACACCUAGCAUUGAUUAGGACGGUCGUGAUCUCCUGACUCAGCGCUAUAUGUUUUAAACCCGGCGACAUUUUGAGACAAUGGGGGUAUUCAAAAUUUGUCGGUAGGCGGUCAUUAUUGCCACCGCAUAAACACACAUCCGAACACAAUGGGUUCCCCCGCAGAACAAUGAAAUCGUUUUGGCCAUUUGAACGCCACCGCGUGCGUGAUAAUAAUAAUAAUAAUAAUAACUAUAAUCGAUAUCUGUAUUAUUAUAAUAAUAUUUUGCCCGUAUACUACCCAACACUAUGGACACAUAGUAUGUACCUAUAUAUAGUUUUAUAUUGUGCUACAAUAACUUCUACAGCAGUGACGCAUAUAAGGGGGUGAGUAUAUAGAAUAUAGUAAGCUAUAGCACCCCUCCCCCCUCCUAAUUUAACUUUUCUUUCUCGAUUGAGAAAUUUUACGCCAAAUAAAUGUAUCAGUCACCGGACUUUGUAGUCCACGAUCAAAUAAUAAACAGGCGUAGUCGCUGGAUAGGAAAUUAUCAUCCCAGGCUUGAAAGACAAAUUAUUUAUCGUGGUAUUAUUAUAUCGUAUUAUUCGAACUGUUUCUGCCGAUUCUGAGGAAAAUGGAUUAGCGGUCACGCUUGCUUAUUUAGUCACGGUUCUGUCAAUUUAUUUUGGAUUUCAUAUUGAACUAUAAUUAUUGAUAAUAAUAAUGGUUUCGCAGUACCUGUUAUUAGUGGAAAUUUGCAGAUCAGUUUUUGACCUCUCAUCAAUUCCUACAAACAGUCUCGAUAAACGCGUAUUACAAAAUCAACAAAUGGCACCAGUGGGCAGUAAUCUGUUUUCGAUUUAUAUUUAUACACGUAUACUACACGUGUGCUUCAUUGUGUUUUCAAUAUUUUUGUAAUGAUUGAUUAUCAACAACGUAGACUACCUACUCUUUCUACACGGGCCUUUCUAUAAAAUUGUAUUUUACCAGGGACAUCUUGCUCCCCUUAAUUAUUAAAAAUACUAUAUUCAUUGCAGCCUCUCUCCCAAAAAAUAUUACAUAUCUAGAGUCUAUAUAGUGAUUUUUAUAUCGUGAACCUACAGCGUUUAUCAGGUUGCACUCGUACAAAGUUUUUAAAUAAAUUAGAUUUCGGUAUUUUUUAGCCGUUUUAAUAUGAGUGUUUAUUCGUAUAGAAUCGUUUAAUAAUAUUAUAUGUUCUUUAUUUUACAAUAAUUUAAAAAGGUUAUCUUUAUAUUCCAUAUAAUACAAACUUGAAUAUCAACUGCCGGUUUUCGAAUAGAAACCGUUGCUUUUAUGCUCCGACCCAAAAAGAGAUUAUUUUACUACACAAAUGUUGAUAUACGUUUAUGAGUAAUACCAGUUUUGAAUAUAUAGGCACCAGAGUUAUCUAAACACGGGUAUGAAAUUUACCCGACUCGCACUUUAUCCGGAUUAAAAAAUUAAAAUAAAAUAAAACAGUGUUGUGUAAAAAUAAUUAUUCAGAAGUACAUAAAUUUUCGUAUUUUCUACGUUGAAAAAAAGCCGUUUGGAUAUAUUAUAUAUAUUACAAAUGUAUCUAUUAUUUACUAUUAAACAAACAAUUGAAAUCGUAUUUAUUAUCCGGAUGAAAUAACAGAAAAUAGUUAUCCAAAUAAUUCUCAGCACUAUAACAAUAUUUAAUUUCUGUUAAUAAAUUGAUUGGUUUUUGUUUUGUUUUGGGUUUUUUUUCUGCACAAUACUCAUUUUUUAUUUAUUUUUUUCAUGACGGGCGCUUAACGAAAUAAAAAAAAAAUAUAUAAAUUGCUAUUGGUCCGCUCGAUAAAUACGUCAUCGUCGGCAAUAAAUCAAUUACUAUCAUUAUUAUUAUUAUUAAUGAAGUAACGGAGCGAUAAUCGAGAAUUUAUUGCGAAAUUUUACACUUAUUGCGUAAUAACAUUACCCCGACGAUGAUGUAAAACAGAAGUAACCGAUAUUAUUAUUAUUGUUAUUAUUUUUAAAAUGUAUAUAGGUAGUUUAUUUCACGUGUUUUUAUUGGAGAUACAAAAAACUCAAUGGUAUAAUGAAGAUGAACAUACCGGGGGCAGAAAAAAAAAAUAAUCGAAUUAUCAUUGAAUUUAUGCAUUACUUUAUUAAUGUAUAAGAUCCUUCAGCGUUUAUAAAAAAAUAUUUUGAAAUAAUAAUCUCAUCAUUAUUUUUUCUCCUCCUUCUGAUAUUGAUCUCUGAGCAUAAAAAGAAAAUGCUAUUUAAAUAUAGGUACCUAUAUUACAAUGCUCGUGGGUAGUAGAAAAGUGAACAAUUUUAGUAUAUUUGAAUGAAAACUCUCAACUCGUCCUCUUUGAAUUAUAAUAAAUAAAGUUCUAGGUAAUAUAUAAUUCACUAACCUAUUAAUACCUAAUCACGUCAGCAAAAUAAUGAAUUAUUUUAGAUUUAUAGAUACUAUAUAAAUCAUUUUUUUUUUUUACAUUUUCGAUUAUGAUGACAGUUUUAUUCUUAGUGGUUUGCAGCAAUAAAAAUUGUGUCCUAUAAUAUCGUAUAAGUAAUGAAUACGACAACGGCGGUGUAUGGGACGGGUGUGUUUUAAAGGUACAUAUUUACGUAUUAUUUAAUUUUUGAUAGUUAACAAAUAAAACACCCGCGCGCAGCUAAAUUCCGUCAUUGGGCUCGAAUUUUCUCCCAGCCAACCUAUCACCGUUAAAAUAUUUAAUUUUCUUUCAAAUUCAGAGCGAAGAGAGGAAUCUGUUAGUUUUACAAUGAGAUAUGCUUAUUUUUCUAUCUGUAAACAACUUUUCGAACUAUUAUUCCAAUCGAAAAAUGACAAGAGAUUUUGUUUAUUGAAUUUUAGUUCUCGUUGGUACAUUAAAUAAGUUUUUUUUUUUUUGAUUUUCCAAGGGGUUUUUCAAAAUAAUUGAGAAAAAUUAGAAACAAUAUUAUUAGAAAAACGGUAAACAUUUACGGUAUUCCGCGGCGUCAACCACUCAUUGUUUUUAAUUUUUACACGCUAUGUUUUCUAUCAGAAAUAUUCCUUUAACCGAUGAAUUCCAAGAGGUGUUUUUUGUUAAAGUCAUUUUUGGAUUUUUCAAAUCGUUUUUGUAAUAAAUGAGCAAAACUGAAAAACCUUAGAAAAUUUACGAAAAUAAUGGAAAACUUGACUUUUGCUUGACUUUUUAAGACAAAAUCAAAUUUACAAUGAUGAUGAUUUCAGUUAUUUAUAAGUAUUUUACAUUACCUAACUUGUUUUUAUUUUAGUAUGUACCAUGCGGAUAAAAUUGUUUAACCGAAGAGAAAUGCUUGGAAAUUUAAUUUGGUGUUCAUUAAAGGUCGUACGUGGUAAAAAAAGUUAAGUGUAAUAUCUUAUAUAUAUGUACAUAAAACUCACGCGUGCGACGAGUUUAAGUGCGAUGCACUCUGAAACUACUCAACCGAUUUUGAUAAGAUAAUGCUCAAUGCGUGUGGUUUGAUCCAACUUAAUGGAUAGGAUAGUUUUCGUUUCAAUUAAUGACUUUAUAAUUUUUUUUUUGCAAAUUAAAUGUUUAUUAUAGUUCAAAGGACAAUUAUUUGUAAGUUUCAUAAAAAUCCCCAAAGAUGACGUUGUUAGUUACGCUGGGCAUCGCAAAGAGAGAUAGUGCGUCUUUGAUUACGUCUGAUACGUUGUGAUUGAAAUUUGAAAGCAGAUUUUAUUACAAACUAUACUCAAAUAUGAGAGGAAUAAAAUGUAAAAUUAUACAUUUUAUGUUGAUUUAUGCUUGGAUUCAACUCUCGGGAACCCUUUACUAAUCAUUUUCAAAUUUUUACGUAAUAUUCCAUUCUCAAUCUGUUGAAUUAUAUAAGGGUUUUAGGUAUUUUUGAAACGAAUUUCUAAUUGUUUAUAUAAAUUUACUUAUUUAUUUUUGUUUAUCAUUAUUUGUCUACUAUUAUUAAUAUUAUGUACACUGUUAACUAGCAUUGUAAGCUAUUAUACAUUUUCUAUACAAAUAAAAUAACAUGUCUUGAUUGACUUAUUCAUCAUCGCCUAGCCCAAACCACUGGACGGAUCGGGCUGAAAUUUGACACACAGAAAGCUAUUAUGACAUAGGCAUCCGUUAAGAAAGGAUUUUUGAAAAUUAAACUCAUAUGGGGGGAAAAUUUUAGGGUUUUAGGUUUAUUUGGUACGAAUAUCUCAUUGUUUUUUAAUUAUGUUUGUUUAUUCAAAUAAUGAUAAUUUGGUUGUCACGAAAAAGAAAACUAAUAAUUAUUCUUAUUACUAAUAUUUAAACUAUUAAAAUUUCACAAUGGAACACAUUUAGUUCGCCGAAGUUGGACUACUUACUUUCCGCCUAUUUAUUUGCAUUAAAUUUUGAAAUGAAUACUGGUAAAAUAAUAAUAUUACAAAUUGGUACGGGCAACGAUGGACGCGGGGCAUCUAGUAUAUUAUAAAAUAACCUGACUUUAUUGACUGAUUUAUCUUCGCUUAACCCAAAUCACUAGACGGAUCGAACUGAAAUUUGGCAUACAGACAGCUAUUGUGAUGUAGACAUCCGUUAAGAAAAGAUUUUUAAAAUUCAACCAUAAACAAGGGGUUUUUGGGUAUAUUUGGGACAAACAUCUAAUUAAUUAUUUAUUUAUUUUUGUUUAACCAUGGUUUAUCUUGGUGACACGUAUAAAAUAACAAAAAAAUUGUUCCUGGUAGUGCCGAAUGGGACAGCCAGUAGAAGUUUAUCGUAAAUAUUAGGAUUUCCAAAUUAUUUAUAAACGAACUUCACUCAGAAUCAUUUUUUGUUGACGCUGUUUUAUCUUUGCUCACGAAUAUAAAUGUAAUGAUUAUAUACAUCAUAAUUUCCCAAUUUCCCACCUAUAACAGUAGUGCACCAGCAUUAGUAGUAUCAACUUUUUUCGGAGUUUAAUUACAUUGUGGUCUGUAUUUUGGGUAUUUAAAAUUCGGUAUUUACUGUGCAAAAAUGAAAUUUGAGAAUACAAAUGGUUUGGAACAGGGUUUUAAGUUGAAACUGUCUGAUUGGUACAUCCUUGAUACUAUACAUUGUACUACGCAUAUACAAAAUUUCAUCCUCCUAGUAUUAUUUAGUGAUUUUUAAGGGGUGUACAAAUGUACAUGAUAAAAUUCAACCGAAAUUUUAUUACCCCCUAUGAAUCAACUGGAAUUUCGGGUUUGAGUUCAUUUGGUGCAGAUGUGAUGCUGAAGUGUUCAAAAAUAGCCAGAAGUACAUAAAUAUUAAAUAACAGGUAUAAUAAAGUGUAAUGUAAUGUAUAUAUUCUAUCAAGAAUGUUUAAAUACAAUAAACGUUCGUCCACUAUUAACUAUUAUUAUUAAAGCUAUGGAAUUUUAGUUCGAUUAUAAUUUAAAUAUGGCAGUAUUUUAAAAAAUAAGAAACAUUUUUUUUUUAAAAUUAAAUAGUUUUUAACGAAACCCUAUUUUUUUAUUUUUUUUUUUUUUCACUCACAAAUCAAUUCAAAAACGUAAAAACUGUAAUUUAUUAGUGUAAACAAUUUAGUGUAAUAGGUAUACUUCCAUAAAUACCUACUUAUCUGGAUAAAUUAGACUAUAUUUAGGAUAAUAUAUUUCAAUCAAUUAAAACUGAAUAGGUAUUUAUAUUAAUUUGAUUAUUAAUAAUCAUGAAUAAUUUAUUAUCUAGUUUUUUCGUAAUGUUUCGAGUUAAUAUAACGAUUAAUAUUUUCACAUCCGAUAAUAUUCGAACUGAACAAUUUCUAGUCUUAUCGGACAUUCCAUCACUAUACCGCCCGCGUAUUCCGCGGCUGCACUUUUAAUUAAUUCCAUUAAAAUACCGUACAACCAUUUACGUUAUAUGGACAUGAAGUCUUUAAUGUCGUCAAAAUGAAAUUCCUAACUCAUCAUGUUCGUCGUAUAAUAAUAAUACGAAAUUACAUUCUGGAUCAUUUUACGAUCCAGAAUGUAAUUCCGUAGACCCUAGAUAAUAAUAGGCAUAUUGUAAGAAUCGCGAGUCAAUUAUUCUUUCAACGUGCUAACAAUUACAAUAAUAAUCAUAUUAUGAUGUAGGUAAAACAUGUCUACCAAUAUACAUUUUUUUAUUGUUUUAUUUUACUAUUUUUUUUUUUCAAUAUAGCGUUUGUAAGUAGGCAAAUACAGUAAAAACGAACAAAGAUUCAAAACAGAGUAUAUCGGUUAACCAUUUUUAGAUAAACUUUAAUUAAAAAUAUUAUAUCAAUUAAUAACAACAAAAUUAAUGAUAAUUUUUUGGCUUUUUAACGGAUUGCAUUUAAAAUAUGAAUUAAAAAUGUUUAUACAAAUAAAUUAUCACAUAACGCCUAAACUUUUUGUUUGGCCACUCAGUACAACUUACGAUGAACGUUGUGCCAAAUGUUCGACCAUUUUUACUGGACCAAAACGGUUUUGUAUCCAUAAAAAAAACAAAAACUCGAACAUUAUAUAUACCUAUAAAUUACUCAAAAAACAGUGAGAAUAUUUUGAACAUCGUACGUAUGCAACGUUUAAAAAUGUGAUUAUAUAAUUAAAUAUUUUGUGAAAAUUUCAAGUAUCUGCAAUUUUUUUUCUCCUGAGUCCAUAUAGUAGUAUAAUAUUACAAACCGUUAGUAUUUAAUUUCUCAACGGUUUUUCUCGAUUUUUUUGAUUUGCUCAAUUAAUUAAAGUCUAUGAGAAAUCUUUAAAAUGACAUCUUAAAUACACUAAAUAAACAAAUUUCGCUACCAAAAACCACCCCUAGAACUAUUUUUUUGAUUAAAAUUUCUAGUCGAAAAAUUGUUUACAAACAGAAAAAAAUACGUAUAUAGGAAAACAUUUAUGACAUUUAUCUCUUUGAAAAAAAACAUCAUAAUUCGAUAUUUAAAAUCCCUCCCUGCCGAAAUUUGUUCCUAUGUUUACGGGCCUAGUGACUGGUAUACAUAAUACAUCGCUUUGCUCAGAAUCUGAAAACAGUAUAGGUAUAUCAUAAUAAUACUAUAAACUCUUGUAUUUCACAAUCACCGAAAGUAUUAUAAUAUUAUUAAAACAUCAGAACUACAAGCACUCCCAUUGAAAGUAUUUGUUGAUAAUUGUUUCAUGUUUAAUGUUCAUGUUACAUUAUAAUGAUGGGGUUUAAUUUCAUAUUUCAUUGAUUAACUAAGUAGUACAUUAUUUUUCAUGUAAUUAUGGAAAACGCCAGACAGACGUGCAAAUUUCGGUUCGGUUAUUUGAACCCUAAAUCUCCCCCCUCCCCCUCGUUGAUACGUUUUGGUUGCAACAUUACAACAAUUCCAAAUAUCACAAUGACAUUUAAGUUUUUAGUUUUUAUAAUAUGACUGUAUCAUAUUAUUAUAGUACUACAGUAAUAAUUUAUUGUUUUAAUAAUGGAAUAACAAUAAUAUAAUAAUAAUAACAUGGUGUUAUAAUAUGCUCUAUGAAAAAAUGCGGUAUAAAAUUACUGAAACACAUAAUACUUUGUAUUUAUCUAAUAACAAUUAAUGCACGUACACCCAGUUAUACAUUUUAAAAAAAUAAUUAUAUGACGCGAAUAUUUUAUAUUUUUUUAUUUUUUUUUUAUUUUCGCAUUUAUAUUAUGAAAAUAUAUUUUGCUGUGCGGUAAGUAUAUAGAUUAUGCGGUAUUGUUAUUUUCUUUGAUCGAAACUAAUGAGCACAUCGUACAAAGCGAUUCGUUAAAAGAAAAACCUAUUGUUCAUACUUAUAUACCUCUAGUAAUUGCCGGUAGGUUAGGUAUCUACCUGCAUAGUAUCUAUUGUAGAAGCAGAUGUAAAAAUAAAAAAUUCCAAUUUGUCCGAUUAUGUUAUUCUUACCGGAGUGGAAGACAAACUUUAUUUCUCAUCGUCGUCAGAUUCUCUUUGACGGAAAAUAAUACGCAUUCUCAAGAAAUUCUCGUUUUCGUUAAAUUAAUGUACAGAGCUACCAAACGGGUGGUGUGGUUUUGUUUUUAAUAUUCGUAUUAGUUAUUACUAUUCCAAUCUAAUAUACGAAAAAAAAUAUGUUCAAAAAAUAUAAACUAGUCCCCGGGGUAUCAAAAUAUAAUAAAACUCAUUAAUUUAUUAACUAUAAAUGUAACAAAACAUUACAGUAAUAUUGCAAAAUGUAUACUGCAACUCUCUACACAUACAUUUAUAAUAUCUAUUUUUGCUUUUAAUACCUGAAAAAUAAAUAUUUCGUCAAAUUCCAAUAAUCGUGUGCAAUUUUUAUUUUUCAAAUGAAAGCCUAAAGAAAACAUUAUGUACACGGAUAAAUUAAAUAUUCAAUUCUUCUUUUCCUAACCGAAGAAGUGAUUUGCUCUCUAUAAUGUUUCGAUUUGCUUAUGCACGACUCAUGCUACUAUAAUCGAAUUUGUAUAGUAUUCGAAAUUCUCAUCGUUUAAUAAUUGAUAUUUUUUUUUUAAAUUUAUUAACAAAACAAAAUCAUACAUUUCUAAUAUUAUUGUUGUUCGUUUACAUCCGAUAGUCCGUUUAUAAUAUUUUGAGAGCAGCGAGGGAUGUGUUGGUUUUAAUGUGAUGUGUUUUAUUUUGUCUGUUAACAAUUCAAAUUUUGAAUCAUUUUUUAAUGAAACAUUUGUGUGGUAAUUUUAUGAUUUAUGUGUAGGUAACUAAAUGAUUAGAAAAAGCCAUAGGGAAACUGGGAAUGUUUUCGGCAUCAAUCGUUUUAUUAUUUUAGAUUUAAUUGUUUGUUAUAAUUUUAUUAAAAAUAUAAUUGUAUAGACGCGAAAUGUGUGCAGAAAACUAAUUAUGACUUUUUUCUAGAGGUGGUAAAAUUUUCAAAACAUUCUGGCGAUUUUUUUAAUUACUUACAGACAUUUGUCAUUUUCGGUUUUUUAAAAAUUAUAAUUUGAUUUUGUGUGGAUAAAAUCGUUUGUCUGAGCAGACAUAUUUAAUAACUAAACUUGAAGUUUUUAUAUACUUUAUGGUGAAAAAAAAAGUUGAGCGUAAUAUAAUUGUUUUUUAUGAGCAUUUUUAAGUUCAAAUUUUGACGAAGGUCAAGAGUAUAUUUUACAGAACUUUGUUCAGAUUCAAAUUUUGUUAGCAAUUGUUUAUCACUGUGUACAGAUAUAAAUUAAAUAAUUUUGUAUUUUCUACUUUCCAAAAUGUCCACCUCCAUCAGUGGUUUAUUCAGUAUCAGCUCUUUUUAUUUUUGGAAUUGUUUAUUGACAAUGGUUUAGGGUAAUCUGAGAGUUCAAAUUCAACAUUAUUUGCAUUGAUCCACGAUUUUCUAUUCGGUAUACGUCGGCAGACUCAUAUAUUGCAAUAAUAUUGUAUAGACAUUUAUCUUAACGAAAUUUACAAAAUAAACAAUAUUAAUUCGUUUCCCCCGAUGUCAGGUCGAUUUCAAACCGAAGAAUUGUACAUUUUGAAUUUUUAACAAAACCGAGUAAUAGUACCGAAUACAACACGAUGUGUAAUUUACGAAUAUAUAUGCUGCUCAAUAGGUAUCUAUCAUAAUAAUAUAAUAAUCAGUGGUGUAGCAAGGAUUUAUCUUUGGGCGUGGUAAUGGGGUCUAAAGGGAUUAAGGAGUCUACAGACCUCUUAACCUUACCAAUAGCUAAAAAAGGCAAUUUAUGGGGGUAAAACACUCGGCUACGCCACUGAUAAUAGUAUAAAAUCAAAUCAAAUAUAUUGUAUAGGUAUUUAUAGAUCGAUAUCAUCAUAAUACUUACUCGUCCUACUUGUGUUUUCGAAUCCGUUUAACCCUCAUAAUUUUAGAAAUGGUUAGAGACGUUUGUUUACUUAUAAGUAUAUUUACUAAUUCGGUUUUGAAUUUAUUGCGUAUUUUAUAUGCGUUAAUAAAUUAUUAAUAAUCUCUGCAAGUAUAUAUAGAAGAAUAAUUAUUAUUUAGACGGUUGGCACAAUAUUUGCGUUCAAGUGUCUUAAGCUCAACGUCGUCUUAUUUUGUGUUGUUUACUGACCAGUGGUAAUAAUGUAUUAUACGCAAACGUCUUAUAGAAAUAUUAUGGUCACGGUGUAAAUAUUUGCAGUGCAUCUAGUUUAAAGCAAACAUAGAUACCGGACAUUUCGUUGUUUGUAUCGGAAAAUAGGCAGUCAGUUUUACGAUCUUAAGUCCACAAGAACACGGUACCGUUGCAGCAGUAUAAGUGUAAAGGAAUAAUUUUGUAGAAAAGCUAAAGAAACUGCUGAAAUCUCGAAUUUUCGCUGAUAAUAACAAAAAAUAUAAGAGAAAUAUCGUACUUUAGUAUUUAUUCAAGACGGAAAUUAUUACUUUUAUAAUUAGUAGUAAUUGUGAUGUAAAUACUCAUGUUAUGGUGACAUCGGUUUAGACAUAAUUACAAAUUCCUACUGAACAAUAUUAUCGUAACCACUAAAAUUAAAACUGUAUGUCCGAUUAUUACAUUCGGUACCUUUGUCAUACAAUGCAAAACUACAUAUAAAAGUAGCCAAUCGAAUGGAAACCGUAGGGGAAAAUAUCCAAAUGAUCGAAGACCAAUAAAGCGAUGGAUAUAUAAGACAAGAAAGGAUUUAAAUACACUGGAAAAUAAAAUCUAGGACCGGUGUAACCGAUGAAAAUUAACCUCUUAGUUAUUUACCCUCUCUGGUAAAAUUUAAAAGAUUAAGAUAAAGUUCAGUUUAAUUCCCACUUGAGACAGUAAUAAAUAUUCAAUAGUGAAAGUUAACCGUGGGGAAGGAAAUUAAUUUAAACAUUACUUUAAUAGGUUUUUUUAGAUUUAAGUUUUUUUUUAUAAUUUAUCUGAUAAUUCAAUCACACAACCAAAUAACAGGAUAAUAUUAUGAAUAGGCAAUUGGUGGUAAUUUUGAGAUUGGUAUUUUAUAGAAUCAUUGACUUUAUUUAAAAAUGCCUACUCGUAAACGAGAUCUUCACAUAGUUAAUACUCUUUCAAACAAUUUUGUCGAUUGGCGUUUAGUGUUUAAUAUUUCGUACGCAUUUAAACGUUUUGAAUUAAGUUUUUAACGGUACGAACGCUUUCAGAAUAUAAAUCAGAAAUGUUUUUUUCAUAUUUGUUUAUGAUUGAAAACAAAGUUAACAUUCGUCUAAUAAAUAAUUUUAAAUUGGUUGUUUUUAAAGAAUAAAACAUUAUAAUGCAAUACAUAACUAAGAUUAUAAAUUUCUAAUUUAAAACUGUACUUAUCACACUAAAAAUUAUAAAAUUCAACAUAUUAACUAAUAAAAAAAAAAAAUUAUUUUCGUUUAGUUCUAAACAAGGAAUUUUUUUCAUUACAAUAAACACGAUAAAACUGUUAUUAUUUGGAUUUUUGAUUAUGUUUUAAUUGUUAUUUUAGAUUCUGAGCGAAGCAAGGAAUGAAUUGUUUUGUCGUUGUUUUUACUGCAAUUGUUAUAUUAACUAUCAAUGGAAAUUUAUUAGUUUUAUACUAUAAUUAAGUAGGUGUAUACUUAUUUAAUAAUAAUAAUAAUAAUAAUAAUUUUUUUAAACAUAUUAAUUUCCUCUUAGUUCCCAGAGAUCUGUUAAAACUAUCGAAAAAAGGUGAAAAUAUGCUGUGUAAUAUACAUCGAAUAUUUUGAGUCAAAUAUAUUAAGUAGGUAUAAUGUUUAUUAGUAAGUACUUGCUUAUUAUUUUUUUUCCCGAUUAGCAAAAUAAUAUUUUCAGCAUUUUAGUAGCAACGUACUGCGGUUUCAUUGUAUUAUUUAGGUAAUAAUUAAGUAUAAUACCGAGCAAAAUUACUUGAAAAUAGCGUAAUGUAGUAGUAUGUUUUAGAUUCUAAACAAAGUAAGAAAUUUAUUGAUUUUACAUUGAUUUUUAUAAUUUUUCAUUAAAAUAUUCAUAGGGACUUAAAAUUUAAACAGAUAACACUUAUAUUUUCCUAUUCUAGACAAGGUUAAACUUUCCAGAUAUUUUAGCUAUUUAUAGACAUUUUAAUUUUGUGAGUUUUUUUUAUGUAAUUAUUCUUCUGUAGGUACUUUAUGGAGAAAAUAGUUAAACUAAACAGAAACGCUUGGACAUUUAACAGCAGUCGUAAUAAUAAGCUGUAGGUACUUAACGGUAAAAAAAAAAUUGAGUAUAAUGUAGAAUUUUUUUUAUAAAAGUUUUAAUACUAAAUUUUAAUAAUAAUCGUAAAAAUCAUGGCACUUCAAAAUAUGUUUAACCGAACUUUACUCUUAACCGUACUUUGUCAUCAAUGAUUUAUUGUUACGUACAGAUAAAAAUUAAAUAACUUUAUCUAUCCUACUUUUCUAACUUCGUUCCAAUAACAAUGGUUCGUCCAUCAGCAGUAUCAGCUCUUUUUUUACAAUAUUUUAGAGAAAUUUGAUUUAACAUUUUGUUCAAAGUCGUCCUUUGUAUUAUUGUUUUUCGUUGUUUACUUCUUGAUUAGUUAACGAGUUUUACUAUUGUUAUGAGCGAUGUACAUUUAUUUAUCACAAGUCUUUGGGAUUUUUGUUUUAUAAACAAUAUUGUCUUCAGCGUUACCCUUUUUGUUUUUAUUUAUUUUUCACUUUUACUUUUCUUCAAAAUCACGGCGAAUUUGUUUUUUACAUUCACUUAGUUGUUUUGUGUUCGACAUUGACGUACAAUUUAUGGAAUAAAUAAACAUUAACAAUUGCCACAACUCACGCAGAACGUAGAUACCUACAACAAGUUUAUAACGUUAAACAAUCGACAAUGUUGUUUAAUUUUUUUUUUAACCUUCAUUUUUUAAAUAUCUUCUUUUAAAUCGAUACCUACCCAAAGUGUAACAUUUAGUAUUUUUAACGUUGUCACCCUCAAACAAAGGUGAGUAUUACGUUUACCAAUGGUUUACUCGUAACCAUAGUAGGUAUACGUUUGUUAAACAUAGAUGUGUAGUUUCUAUUAUUCUUUGAAUAGAUUUAUAAUAUCCCUGAUUAAAAUAUAUUUUAUAAAUAUUAAAUAUAUUAAGAAGAAAAAAAACUAGAAUAGAUUUAUAGAAUUCGAUCUGCCUACACACACACACACACACUCACACACACAUUAUCCUAACGCCUAAACUCUACCCACUACGUUAACAUAUAUAUUAACUAUAACGAUUCACAGAGUAUUUAAAUUUUGACGAUAUAAUAGAACUAAAAUUAGCGUUAUCUGGAACAUUAAUUUUCAGGAGGGAAGGAAAUCCCUCGAAAAUUAUUUUCAUUUUAUGUUUAUUAUAUUUGUGGUAUCUGUAGUUUUGUCAUCAAGUAUUUAAAUUUAACAGUAACACAAUAUGAAUUGAAAAUCAUUUUUACUAUUUUCUACGUUUUCUAGUGUGCGGGUACUACAAUCUGUGGCAAUCGGUGUAAAGUUAAUAAAAAAAAAAAAAAUUUUUAAAAAUAUUAUAGUUUUUAGUGGAAUAUUCAUCGAAGAUUUUUGUAGAGCGAUUAAUGAUAUAGUAAGUGUUACGAGAGUUAAUGUACCCUUAAUGUAAAACCAUAAAUGAACUAAAUAUAUUUUUGAAGCAGGUUAGGGACAACACCUAACGUUCUGUAUAUAGGAAUUAAAAAACAAGCCUCACUUGGGAUGCUCAUGUAACCUAAUGAAACUAUACACUCAUCCAUUUUAUAUGAUCUUAGAUAAUAAACAUACAACAUGUGCUUGAGCUAUACAUUCUAAAAUAAACUAGUAUUUUUAUUAGUAAUUAGUAUAAGGUCUAUAGUGACAGCUCACUGACAAUAAACUAGUGUUAUCAGAAUUUUAAUUUAUGACAACGAUUAGAAUCAUUAUCAUAUUAUUGUAUUAUAUUGUGAUUAUCAUUAUAAUGGUAUUUACAAUAUUCAUUUAUUACCCGUUUAUUCAACCCAUAUUUUAAAGCGGCUAUACAUUAUACAACGUUGAAUAACCGUUUAAUAAAUAACGUAUAUCCAGUUUAAUUAUAAACUAAAAGUGUACAGUUUAAAAAGCGUGGAUUUCAUGUCAAGUAAACCUGCAAACGUAAAUAUCGUUAGAAUUUACUAUGGAUUUAGAGUUUAUAAAUGUAUAUUAUAAUCCAGAGUUUUCUUGUAUUUUAAUUUUUGUAUCUACGUUUGAUUCGUUUUUUUUUUUUUUAUGCGUAUUUAUUAAUACCUACGUAAGUAAAACGUGUUUAAUAGUGGGUUGAUUUAGAUUAUAAUCUUUAACAAAUUAAAAAACAAUCAACUAUAUAAUUUUAAAAUCGAAUGACGUUUAUUUCGCAAAAGUUAUAUGAAUUCGGUUUUAUAGUAGGUACCGUUACUUCUCAUUUAUGUUCCCUUUCAAACACAAAACUAAAUAAUUUAUUUGAUUGCUUCUUUACUACCUACUCAACUUUCAUUUAAAAUUCAGGCAAUUAUUUAUUUAUUAUGAAGCAUUUUCUACUAUAUUAUGAUAUUGUUUUUUAAUCGCCAAAACUCGAUUUCAGAUAAAAUACACUUUGUUUUGCACGUUUAAAAUGUAAGUAAAUACUUAAAUUUUUUUUGAUAAACUACUUGGUAUGUAACAAUUUUUAGGCUGUUAAAUUUGAGUGUGUGGUGUUUAUAUUUUGGUAUUUAACCGCGUUCAAUAAAAUUUAAAUUACGUUUAAACAAAAUAAUAUAGGCACCUGUCGGCAUAUUAUUACUAUCGUGGAAUAUUUUUCCUAAUAGAAAUAUAUGGUGUACGAUGUUAUAUAGAGAAGUCGUACUUAUAUAUGUAUAUAUUAACAUAUAUUCAGUGUGGAAUAAUACUUGGUUUUGAGUAUGAUGAGCGCUCUUCUAACUAAUUCAAAUAUUCCUGCCACGUGAUAAAAUUAAAAGUAUUCCGCAAUAUAAUAUAGUAAAAUUGAAAAAAACACCGCGGGUAGUUAAAUUAAGUCAAAGAUUUGUAGGUAUAUAGGUAUAUUAAUUGUAUUUUGAAAUAUUAUCACUUAUAGGAUAUUAUUGCUACAUGCGUAUAUUUUAAUGGAUAUACAAUAAUAACAGCAAUAGGUAAACAUUACGUUAGCUGAAUUUAUAUACAGGGUGAAAAUAAAAUAUUACGGUCUCCUGUAUGAUGAUAUGGAUGUAUGCUCGAUCCGCUACGUUUACAAUUAAUUCGAUCGUUUCUGUUGUCACCGGGCAGGUAUUAAUUAUAAACGUAAAAUAUUAUGACAGUGCAUUCAAUACAAAAACAGAAUGCAUUUUUAACGCAAAAUAUAUGCAUGGGACAGUGACAAAAAUAAAUUAGAUUUUUUUUCAAGCAGAAAUUAUGUGUUUGUUUUAUGAACACAGCAGAUCCAUUAGACAAUAUAUGUUCAUAAUAUUUUGUUUUCAUACAUUUAUUAAUAAAGAAUCUACAGAAACUCUAAAGUUUACAGUUUCGGCCAAUGUAUGGUAACUGUUAAUUUUUCUUCUCCAACUAUUCUUGUUCUGAACGAUAAAAUGACAGGGACAUCCGUGUAAAUUUCACUUUACGCAUUUUUAAAAUAAAGAUAACAUAAAUAACUGUCGUGUUUCUUUAAUUUAUUUGUUCAAUCCUAACUUUGGUCAUCAACAUUUGUCUAUUUUCGAAAUAACAUAUUUUCCUCUCACUCCUCGGACAUUUUUGUGAAUAUUUCCCUGUUAAAAUGCACAAUGAAUAUUUUGCGAAUCGUUUCAAUAACCUAUAUUUUUAUCAUACUAUAAUAAAUUGUUGACGCGUUAUUGGUAGUUUUUUUUUAUGUACUGAAAUCACAAUAGAACGGUUAGGUCAGGUUUACCUAACAUCGAUUUACACAUAAAUCAUAAUAUUAUUAUUAUACACCCAGUAGAAUAGCAUACACGUAGGUAUUACAAUACGUAUUGAUACUCGUUCGUUUUGAACGCAUUAUAAUAAUAUUUUCAUAGAAGAUGCCAUUAGUCUGUCUGCCCAUUUUUCGUCAAUGAAAUGUAAACCUUAUGGAAUACGCGUAUAAUAAUAUAUUAAAUCAUCAUCUUAGAUCAUAUACAAUAUAUUAUGAUUUGAGAUUACCAUAAACGUUAAUAUCAGUAUUAUUUAAAUACCGUCUGGAUUUAGACUCUGAGUGAGGAUUUUUUCGUUUUGAAACUCCUUUUAUGGAGUUAAAAAUCAGGGUUUUAAUAAAUGUUUAUAAAACUACCUAUAUAGCGACUAAAAUGUAAUUUGUAUCCGUUUAUUUUUUUAUAAAAUGUAUAAUUAUUCAACAUUUGUUAGUCGCUGUUUACAUAAUAGUAUAGAUAUUGAUUUUAACUAAUAUCCAUAAACUUCGUUUACUUUUAAUAAUAUCUUUAUGCAAUAUUUUGCAUAAAAAUAUUAUGAAUACUUAUAUACGUUCGUAUAAUGUAUGUUUAAUACUUUACUAAAUUGUAUGUUCUGGCCCUGGUAAAAAUACCAAGAUUUUUCUUUGUCAUGGUAUAACUUAAAUAAGAUGCGGACUUGUCACACGAUGAUACGUUUUUUGAAACAUUUUUCAAAAUUCCUAAUAGAUCCUUAAUCCCAGACAUUUUUUUUUAAAUUUUUUUUUUUUAUUAAUACUUUUGGUUAACUUAAUAAUACAAUUUUUUUACGUAGUACCUCAAAAGAUGUGAAAUUUCUGCCCAGUAGUACUUUAUUUGACUCUUUGAGACAUUGUGGUAUUAUAGUUAAACAACCUAAAUUUGUUUCUUUUUUGUAUGUAAUAACAGUGCUAACUUUUAAUAUUUUUCAAGAAAAAAAAUUUUCAAAAAUAAUGUGUUCCGAAGGGUUAAAACAAAAAGUAUAGAUUAUUAACAGUUUUUAUAUACAAUUUAAAACAACUCAGGAAAGCUGUAGUUAUAGUAAUUUAGACGAUAAACUGUAAUUUUAUGUACAAUUUUGAAAGAAAUUGGUAACUAAGACACUAAGUAUACUUUUUGAGUGUAGAAACUUAAAUAAAUUGGAUAUCUUAAUUUGCAUAUAUUUGACAGGAUAUUGUUAAAUUCUUAAAGUACUUUUAUUUUAAUAACUAUUUCUUUAAUAUUAACUGAUAUGCAUUUACAUUAAAUACUCAUAUUUCAAUUAAUAAUAAUAAUACAAAUUUUAUGAAAAUAUUUCUCUUCUUGUCAAUCAAAUCAACAAUCGUAACUAUGUAUUCGCUAACUACAGACGGACAUAUUAUACAAUUGCCGAAACAUAAUAUAUAAGAUGUUUUAAACUUAUUUUUAUAAACCUAAAACUCAAAAUAUUAGACAUUUAACAUCGAUACUUUUUUUUUUUUUAUUGUUGAUUUCUGAGUUAACUUGAACAAAAAAACAACUUAUACUACUGUAAUACUACUCCGUUCAGAAUCGUUGUUUCGUUUGCAACGAUUUUUUGUUGUACACAGUAUAUUAAAACUUACUUGCUCUUUAUAUUCUACCUUUCCAACUAUCCACCUACAACAAUUGCCUUUCCUUGAGCAGUAUCAAUUUUUAGUAUUAUUAUUUGCCCCCAACUUUAGUUUUUACAUUAUUCUUAAAUGUGUAAUUUAAGCUUACGCUCAAUUCUAGUAGGUAAAUGAUCGAACGAGUACGAAUAUUAAAAAAGAGUCACGCUACAUGUUCGUGAACUUAAUGAUAGGUAUGAUAAUAUUAUGGGCUGUGGGCACUAACAUUAAAAUAAAAACACCGCUGGUAUAGUGUUAGCGGUUUGUUUCUCUUUAUUUAGCAGUUUUUUCCACUACCUUUGCCACGUCCGCUCCUCGAAACGACUGCUGUUUUUUUUUCUUUUCCUCUAACGCGCCGCGGUCACGUAAACGUCCGACAUACCGCUAUUACCUCUUCGCGGUAAAAGUGUACAAAAUAAUAUUUUAUACGGGUGGGGAAAAAAACGGAGACAGUAGCCAAGUCCAAAUGUAUAAUGCAUAAGCGUUUUGUGUAUGCGCCGAAAUAAUAGCCGGAUAAAGUCGGCGAAAGCUUUCGGAAGCUUAAAACUUUUGCCCUGAAAGUUAUUGUUCAACUUCUCGAACGUUCAAAAGAAGUAAAAUACGAAAGAAGAAUACGGUGAGGGCACACACACACACAAAUAUAUACAAACACACACACACACCAGAAUGGGAUAGAGGAUGAGACGAAAAUGUCAUCUUUGGCAGUGGAAGCUUGCGUUAUCCUAUCUUAUUUUUUUGUAACUAUACAACUCGACCGACCAAAAAAGUCCAAGGUAUACGCACACCGCUUUAACGGUUUGUGAACAGAGGGGAAAAAUAAAUAAACCUUUUUGAUAUAAUAUUAUCUGCAUGUGCCUGCGACUAUGAUCAUAAUUAAAUCCGGACGGUAUUCAUUCGAGAGAGGACAUCUUCAACGAUUUUGAUUAAUUUUCAGGAGAAAACAGAAGGUAUAAUACAAUAUAAAGAAGAGACAAUAAGAGCCUGACAUAAAAUCCGAGAAACUUUAUAAAUCAUCAUUAAAAAAAAAAAUGAUGACUAUAUAUUGAAUCCUGUUUUAUAUUCGACUCCUGUCAAGUAUUUUAUUUUAUUCCUUUUAUUUGGAUGAACUUGUACGUUGUAUACGCCUAAUACUAUGAGUAGGUACUUAUAUAAAAUAUAGUGGCGAAUUUUUUUUAAAAAAAAAAAACACCAUUUCCUUCAUUUUAUAUUAUAUAGUAAUUUAUUAUUGAAUUAUUAUUAUUUUUAGGUUUUUAGCAAAGCGAAGAAUAUAUUGGUUUUACAAUGAUGUUUUUUUACUAUUUUUUUUUUUUAUACUGUGUACAAAAUUUUCCCUAGAAAACUUGCUCCAAUAAAAACAUAACAGGGACCUUUAUUUUAUCAUUUUGGCUCUAGUUGGUACUUGAUACUUUAGAAAGGUCAUUAUUUUCAAUUCUCAUUAAUAAUUGUGAUAGUAAAUAAAAUCUGGUUCUUUUGGUUAAAAAAAAAUAUAAGAUAUUAAAAUAAGGUUGUCAUUGGUUACCUUUUUAUUUAUUUUUUAUUAUUAUUAAGUUUAUAUAAUUUCAGACUUUUAAUUGUUUUUAAAUAAUUGUUGUUGUCAUAAUAAUGCACGCUGUUGAAAAAACAAUACUGUUGAUCAAACACUAUUCAGAAUAGCAUUUUCGUUGGAAAUGAUUAAUUAGAGACCCACUGUUAGAAUCGGAACUAACUAUAUUAGGCACAUUAACGAGACAAAAUAAUAAUUUUGAAGGGGCUGUGUGUGACCUGUUUUCUUACCCGAAAACAUACUUUAAUGCUUUACAUAUAGUUAUCUAUAUUGCAUCUAAGAGUUUUUUUUUUUCUAUAGGUCUUACGUUAUAUACCUUACAGUAUGCAUUGGAUUUGGAUUCUAAAAAUUACAUUUCCAAACACUGUAAUUAGAAUUAGAAUACGAAAUGUUUUUAAUACUUUUUCUUAUGAUUUUUGGUUACAUAAUCAAAAAUUGUUGUUCAAUAUAGCUUAUUCUAUUAAUUCUAUUAGUUGUUCUAUUUCCAAUAAAAUAAAAGUUAUCGAAACUAGUCAUUUCUACGGGGAAAAAUAAGGUGCGCAGGUCAAUUAAUAUAAAAUCUAAAAUUGUCUAUAAUUGCAAUAUACAUUCUGCAACUAUACAUUAGACGUUUUAAUUCGUAAGAAAAUCUCAUAUUUCGAAAUGGGAGCUAUAUUUAUGUAAAAAUUGUCAUUAAAAAAUGAAAAAAAAAACAUAUUUAUUUUUUAAAAUUUCAGUGUCUUUUAUACCUAAUCACACAGAAACACAUUUGAUCUUUUAAGUUUUUCUUUUUUAAUAUUUAAUAAAUAUGUACCUAUUCGUUAUAAAUGUCAAUAAUAAUAAUAUUUUUUAUUCGAACAAAUAAAUACUAUAACCAAAUCGUUUGAUAUAAAAAUUUACUUAUUACCGUUAUCGUUAUAACGCUAUACUGAGAAGAACCAAAAAUUAAAAUUAUCAUAUUGAUAAAACUAUCUCGUCGCUGAUAAAUAAUUUAUAAAAAUGCAGGUAUAUUUUACUAUAUAGGGGUUCGGAAAUCGCGCCUAUCGACUUAUUCCGAAAACGAUGUGUUUAAAUGGCUACUCCAUAUUCAUGUUAUCUCAUUUCCAUAAAGACGGCGGUGCGACAAGAAAGAUGACAAUAUUCAUUAAGUGCGACGGUUCAAUUCCCACCCAAAGAAUAGGUAUGAUUACUAAAAAGCCUUAACCGAUACGGCAGCGAAAAUAGUCAGAUUAUUUUAAUUUAUUUAUUGCGUUUAAACCUUUUUGUUUUGUUUUUUACAUUCACCUGACAAUAUAAUAAUAUUGGAACGUUGCGGACGAUAAAAAUUAUGUAAUAAUUGAAUCAUUAAUGUGCAUUAGAUUAAGGGAGUUGAUAUUAUGUGCUGAUAUAAAUUUACAAUGUAUGCAAUAUUACGCAGUAUGUAUAACUCUACGGUUGUAAAAUUAAUAUUCAUGUCCAGACAAUUAAUACAAGACUCACCAUAAUUUCUUGGAAUAUUCUCUAAAAGCCAAACGGUUUCGUUUCGCGUUUCACAUGUUUCAAAAUGUAGACGUAUUACUAGACGUUAUUUUGUUACAGUCAUUUAUUAGAUAAUUGUUAAAGGAAAAUCGAAGGUUUCGAAUUCAUUAAAAAUAAUACGGUUCGAAUGUUGCGGUACAAUUAUAAUAAACGGAUUUUACCGAUCGUUAAACGAAUUGCAAAAAUUUAAAUUUGCAUCGUUAUGAAAACGUUUUUCGUAUUUUUGGUCAAACAGUAAAUUCGAUUCGGAGUAAUUCACGUAAUUGUAGGAGAUAAGUUUCUUUAAAAAAUGAAUUAUUUGAAAUUGAAUUAUAAGGUUAUUUAUUGAUACAAAAAGAAAAGUUGAUGAAUUUAUUUAUCGAAAUGCAUUUUGUUCUCAAUUACAAAAAAAAAGAAAAGAAAAACGUUUUUUUUUAUCAUAAAUAAUACAAUAUAACAAGAAUUAUUAAACAAAUAUUAUCAUUUUUGACAUUCACGAAACACGAUAAAAGAAAUUUGAAAGAGGACAAGAGGUUGUGAAAACGCCUGUACUUCGUAGUGGUGUAAGUGCACCCGGGAGUUAAUAUAAAUGUCAACUACUGUAGGUAAUAAAUUUCUAUGUAGUCAUCUCUACAUUAAAUCUCGUUUUAAGUACCAACGUAACCCGGAAUGUACGACUUGUUAUUUGUGCGUUUAUAGACAGCAAGGCUUACAAAUACACCAACGUCGCUUACUCCGUAAACAAUUUAGUAUAGAGUUCAGAGUUUUUAUUUUUUGAAUUUGACUCAUUUUUCAUUUUUGCUACCUAUCAUGUAUAUUAUAGAUUGGUAGGUAUGCUAUACAUUGUAUUUUAUUUCAAAUUUAAUACCUAAAAUUAGUUUAAAACUAUAUUAUCAACAAGGUAAAUAAAUUAUAUUUAUAAAACUACAUAAUAUAAGCUUAGUAAGGAUGUGACAUAAAUCCGGACUGUCCGAAAAUCAGAAAAUUCGGAUUUCGGAUUUCAAAGUUCGAAAAUACAAGUUUCAUACAAUCAUAUUCCGAAAAUUCUAAUUUUAGAUUUCAAAAUUAGAUCUUAUGAUUUUUUUUAAAAAUCUAUUUUAUACAUUUUUGUACUUAAUUCUUCACUGUGGUCAUAAUCUAAAACGUAUAUUACAACAAUAUUUUAUUUUUAUUUGAUUAUAAUAUGUAGUUUUAGGUAAUGUAAAUAGCUUAGUAAAUAUUAAUAAUUAGGUCAUUAUGUGUUUACACCACAAUAAUUAAAUAAUCAUUAGAAAUAAGAAAAAUGUUUUAGCCAAGCAAUUUUUAGUAGAACGUAGACGUAAACGAUUUGUAUUAUAAAAAUAUGGAAGAGUAAAUAAAUUGGGAUCUUCUGUUGUGAUCGUGCGACGCGAUCACUACUGGACAAUUUUGUUAAAGUUCCACUUUUCAAAUAAUUGUAUUUUUAUUUUGUGUUGUUAACGUUGAAGUUAUCAUUUAUCCUAUACGCAUACGACAAAGUUAUUAAUUUCAUGUAAACAUAUAAUAACUUACCUAUUUACAUUUACUAAACUGCUGAUAUUGUCUAAUACUACAUGGCUUAGUGUGACUAUAAUAAAUUACUAUAUGAUUUUCAGAUAAUUCAUAAUAUUAUUAUAUUAUAUUCCUAUUAUAUGUAUAUUCAAUAAAUGAGUAUUUAUGAUUAAUUUUUGAAUUUAAUACAAAUUAUCUAAAAGAAUGCAAAAUCUAAAACUCAGAUUUUAAAUACAUUUGUGACUUCGGAUUUCGGAUUCCGAAAAUCCGGCUUAUCAUACUUGAGCAAACCUGGAUUUUUCUCACCACUACCUUGGUGCCAUAGGCGUAACUAAAUUACCAGCUUUGAGGGCGCUAAAAUUAUGAACACAUCAAUGACUCGUGAGAGCUAUGCUUCCGCAGUUCCCUUUACACGACUAAAACAAUAAGCAAUUACUUAUUUAAUUUAAAAAUUUGUAUACACAAAUUUAUCAUAAGUAUUUUAAUAUUAUUUUUUAUACUUACAUGCAUUGUCUGUGGAAAUCUAUAUUUUGUUCUGCCAAUUAAUUAUGAAACACAUGGAUAAAAUAUUUAGUCGGUACUAUGAAAAAGCUUAUUGGGUUUUUUUGGGGCUGCUAAUAUUAAACUUGGGAGUGCUAAAGAUCUCCAACACCCCUCUAGUUACACCUAUACUUAGUACAUUUUUAUAAUACCUCAAUGAUAAAAUAGGUUUUUUUACGUUACGCUUCAUAUUUUUUUCAUUACAAUGACAUUUACUGAAUUUGCUCGUUGUUUAUCAAUUUACACUUUGAUCUCAGGCAAAUAAAGGAACUUGUUCUAUUACCCCCAACAGAACAUACAUUGACUGAUUAAUCUACCAUGCAGGGUUUCUCACCGAAAUAUUUACUAUCUCUCCAUUUACGACAUUGAAUAAUUAAUUGACUACGCUAUGUUUUGUAAAGUUUUUGUUUUUUUCGCAAAAAUUAUAUUAAAUGAACAUUAUGAAUUUUCACGAUUAGAUUUGAAAUGUAUACGUCAUCAGUUAAUUUAAACCGGUAACGCAAAUGUAUACUCUGCUUUGGUGAAUAAAUCUAUAGAAGAUUACCAUCCAAAAUUAAGUGACUUUUUAUCUUUCUUUAUUAUUUUAUAAUGUACAUUUGUUUGAAAUAUAAACUCGGUUUUUAAUCUUUACUACGAUAUACACGGCUUUCAGGUUAAAUAAUAGAUAGAUAAAUUAUUAAUUUAAAAACAUCAUUACUCGUAAGGCUUCGACAGUUUAUAGUAUUAUGUGGAUAGCAUCACGAUUUUUGAUCUUGCACUUAUCUAACGGAACGAGAAGUUUAGAAAUCAUGCAUUUUGUAUACGCUCUCUUUCUCUUAAUAUUUGAUUGUCUGUAUGUCUCAUGUCUCAUGUCUUUUUAUUCGAUUUGAAAACGUAUUUUCCGGACUGUAUGGCUACUUAGGUUACCUGGUUUCAAACCGUUAUACCGCUAGGCAUUACGUCAUUUUACCCGAAAUUUUGGAAAACCAUACAUAUUGCUAAAAUUAAAUUGAAUACAGAAAAUAUAUAAUUUCGUGAUUAGGUAACUUAAGUAAAUAAGAAGAGGAAUAUUUAUAAAUGUCUUAAGGGACCUUGUCACUAAUAUUUUUGUCUCCGCAGUUUGUCUCGCGUGUAAUUUGACCAUAAAUGCAUUCAUUUUAAUGAUUGCGAGUUUGAGACUCUGGUUGAGUUUAGAGCAAUAGGUGUAAUCCAAAACUAUAAAAUAUAAAUAGAACAGAUAUUUCACUACAGGUACCAUUAGUUAUGGUGAUAUAUGAAAUUUUGCUAGGCGUUAUAGUAUUUUAUACUGUUUAAUUUCGAAGUUUCAAAGAAUACAGAUAAAUUCAUUAAACUAAUAAUAAUAAAUUUAUGAGAGUCAUUUUUUGAUGUAUUGUUUACUCGGUAUUCACAGCAUACUGUUUGGCAAACAUUUUUUCUGAUUACCAGUAUAACAGUAUUAACUGCAUACUGAAAAUACUGUUAGCCUUAACUUGGCUAGUUAAGGAUCAUUUGUAGGCUAUUAUUGUUCCACUAGUCCUAUUAGGUUUAUAAUAUAUAUACAUAGUAAUUAUAGUCUAGUUUAACCACAUUUUACUUUAUUUUUGUUGAUUAACUUACCAUGUAAUACUUAAUUUAUUCGCUUAUCACAAACGAUCUUUUAGUCGCUAUAUAAUUCAUUAAAAAUACAAAUUAAAUGUAUUAUGAAUUUUGAUCACCAAUACAUAUUGUUUCAUUUUCGUUAUUAAAAGUAUACUCUUUUUUCACAAGCAUGAAUUUAUUAUUUUAUCAAACAAAAUAAUAUCGGAAAUUAGAAGAAUUGUUAAAAUUUUUACUAUGAUCUUUGUGAAUAACUUUCGAAGGUCUGUUUACUUCAUCUAUUUAAUAUUGUUUCGUAUCUUUUCGUUUGGACAUCAUUUGUUAAAUAUUUCGUUGGAAGCAAUUAAAAUAGUAAAUAGGUCUUUCAAUAGGUAGUUUUAUUACAUUGUGUUUAAUAAAUUAUAUUUCAAAAAUUAAUUUACAUUAAAGCUGUAAACAAAAAAAGUACUAUGAACAUUGGUGUAGAAUGCAUAUCAUAUCUUUACAAAAACAUUAUUAAAAAUUGUACGAACACAUUUUUAAUUAAAAGUACCUAAAUGAGUUUGUCAAAUAUACUUCAUAGUCCAUAUUAAUGAAAUACACGAGUUGAAUGGCUACACUGUAUAAUAAGAACGUUCCCGCUUAGUUUUUUGAAUUAGUGGUCAUGAAUGAAUUUCUGUGGAUUUGAUAAAUUAAUAAAAUGCCGCGGUGUUUGGUGUUUGAAAGGACAAUAUUUCACUUGUCAUUAAUAUAGUCUAAGCUAAAUUAAAUCAUAUUUAGGCGUGAUUCGACAGGAAUUUAAUUUGAACGUAUAUCAAUGAUUUAUUUGGUAAUUCAGAUAUUAGAUUUAACUCGAAGCAUAAAUAUAUAAUUUUGCUAUUUUUUUUCAUUUUAUUUUGUAAAACUGUAUGCUUAUAUAUUUUAUAUAAAAUAUAAAUAUCAGAAUUCGUUUAUACAUGUUUUAAUUAAAACGUUUACUCCAUGUUCGAACAUUGAACAUGGAGUAUAAUUUAUGUAAUUAUGCACGCCAAUGAGUUUAUAAUAAUAAUAAACUUUUAAACCAUAUCUAACUUGAACGUGUCUUUGAUGCGGAUUUCAGUAUGACAAUCAAAAAAUGAAAACAAAAUAUAUAUAAAGUAAAUUUGUAAAGAUGGAUAAAGAUAAAAGCUUUUCUGGUAAAUAAGAUUUAUUAAAAAAAUACGCAUGAAAGAGUCGACGUAUCACGUAACUACUUUUAAAAAUUUUAAAUGAUCCAAGAAACAUUAUUAUUAUUAUUAUUGUUUUAAAAAAGCUGAUGUGUGCGUCACUCUUGUAGGUGGAAUAUUGAGAAUUAAAGAUACAUACAAUUAUUUAAUUUAUAUCGAAACGAUAAAGCAUUUCUAACGAAAUAUGACUCUGGUAUAUUCUACAUGUUUUGAAAUUUCACAAUUUUCAUGAUUUUUAUCAAAAUUUAAUCUUAAAAUUAUUAUAAAAAAAAUGUACGCAUUAUGCUGAACUUUUUUUUUACAACUUAAGCUUAACCUUUAAUAAUGUUUGAAUUAAAUUUUCAAGGAUUUCUUUUUGUCAAGCAAUUUUGUCCACAUGGUACCUACCAAAUUAAAACGGCUUAAAGUAAAAUGCUUAUAAAUAGAUCGAAUCACCAGAAUAUUUUAAUAUUCAUGGCUAUAAAACCACUUGUAGAAAAAUCGAAUAUAAUUAAUUAUGUACAAAUUUCAGAUAUUUUUAAUCGAAUUACAACAAAGCAAAAAAAAAACAAUUUAAAAAUAAUGAAGUCGUUAUUUCCGUAGAAUUUCUUGUUUUUCCUACGUUUUUCCGGAUUUUGCUCCAUUACGUAUUAAGAAAACUAUACAGAAAAAAAAAAUUCUCACUCACUAUCUAGAUUUAAAAACAACAACGAGUAUACUUUAAUUGAAUAGCCCAAAGAAUAUUACUGUUGUAACAUUAAUAUGUUGCCGUUGUAAUAAUUAAAUUUCUAAAUAUAAAUAAAUUAAAACUCAUUGAAGUCAUAAUUUUGUUAUAGGUGUAUCCAGAAUCAGCAUGCAUUUUUCAUGUGCGGAAACAGUGUGUUUGCUGUUGACUUUAUCUUUUAUCAACAAUGCUACUUCUAACGG